This 450-nucleotide ribosomal RNA is filed under the name uncultured Thiotrichales bacterium. Its description in RNAcentral is "bacterial SSU rRNA". It matches the Rfam family "Bacterial small subunit ribosomal RNA", at positions 1077 to 1532 of the family's 1533-position model. The record is from RNAcentral. Lineage: Bacteria; Pseudomonadati; Pseudomonadota; Gammaproteobacteria; Thiotrichales.
UGGGUAGUCCGUACGAGCGCACCCUAUCCUUAGUUGCCAGCGAGUAUGUCGGGAACUCUAGGGAGACUGCCGGUGACAAACCGGAGGAAGGUGGGGACGACGUCAAGUCAUCAUGGCCCUUAUGGCCAGGGCUACACACGUGCUACAAUGGCCGGCACAGAGGGCUGCGAAGUCGCAAGGCGGAGCGAAUCUCAGAAAACCGGUCGUAGUCCGGAUUGCAGUCUGCAACUCGACUGCAUGAAGUUGGAAUCGCUAGUAAUCGCGGAUCAGAAUGCCGCGGUGAAUACGUUCCCGGGCCUUGUACACACCGCCCGUCACACCAUGGGAGUGGGCUGUACCAGAAGUAGGUAGUCUAACCUUCGGGGGGACGCUUACCACGGUGUGGUUCAUGACUGGGGUGAAGUCGUAACAAGGUAGCCCUAGGGGAACCUGGGGCUGGAUCACCUCCUU